Molecule: ribosomal RNA, 94 nt
Filed under: uncultured bacterium
Lineage: Bacteria
Description: partial 16S ribosomal RNA
Source: RNAcentral
CCACACCAUGAGAGUUGGUUGUACCAGAAGUUGCCGGGCUAACCUUGCUUUAGCAAAGAGGCAGGCACCUAAGGUAUGGCUGAUGAUUGGGGUG